CCUACGGGUGGCAGCAGUCGAGAAUCAUUCACAAUGGGCGAAACCCUGAUGGUGCGACGCCGCGUGGGGGAAUGAAGGUCUUCGGAUUGUAAACCCCUGUCAUGUGGGCGCAAAUUAAAAAGAUAGUACCACAAGAGGAAGAGACGGCUAACUCUGUGCCAGCAGCCGCGGUAAUACAGAGGUCUCAAGAGUUGUUCGGAAUCACGGGGCGUAAAGGGUGCGUAGGCGGUUUCGUAAGUCGUGUGUGAAUGGCGCGGGCUUAACCCGCGGACGGCAGAUGAGACUGCGAGACUAGAGUAAGGGAGAGGGAAGCGGAAUUCGCGGUGUAGCAGUGAAAUGCGUAGAUAUCGAGAGGAACACUCGUGGCGAAGGCGGGUUCCUGGACAUUAACUGACGCUGAGGCACGAAGGCGAGGGGAGCGAAAGGGAUUAGAUACCCCAGUAGUC
RNAcentral lists this ribosomal RNA (446 nucleotides) under uncultured bacterium. RNAcentral describes it as "partial 16S ribosomal RNA". It matches the Rfam family "Bacterial small subunit ribosomal RNA", at positions 338 to 795 of the family's 1533-position model. The record is from RNAcentral.